AGCAGCAGCCACGGGAAUACGUAGGUGGCAAGCGUCGUCCGGAAUUAUUGGGCGUAAAGGGCUCGCAGGCGGUUUCUUAAGUCUGAUGUGAAAGCCCCCGGCUCAACCGGGGAGGGUCAUUGGAAACUGGGAAACUUGAGUGCAGAAGAGGAGAGUGGAAUUCCACGUGUAGCGGUGAAAUGCGUAGAGAUGUGGAGGAACUCCAGUGGCGAAGGCGACUCUCUGGUCUGUAACUGACGCUGAGGAGCGAAAGCGUGGGGAGCGAACAGGAUUAGAUACCCCAGUAGUCCCUGUCUCUUAUAC
Molecule: ribosomal RNA, 303 nt
Filed under: uncultured bacterium
Lineage: Bacteria
Description: partial 16S ribosomal RNA
Rfam family: Bacterial small subunit ribosomal RNA
Source: RNAcentral